UUUUUUUUUUUUUUUUUUUUUAUUUUUUUUUUAGGAAGAUUACAGCCUUUAAUCUCCUCAAAAUAAAUGUGCAUAUAAACCAUGAACAAUUUAAUUAUAGCUGUAUUUAUAAAAUGCUUACUAAUGACUAUUAAUUUUGGGAGUAGGCUAGCAACAGUUGAUGUUGAGGCCUAAGAUAUUUUUUAAGCUGUAAUGAUGAAAAAACAACAACAACACAAAAUUGCUUUUUUUUCUGCUGGUGAUUAAAGAGAUGAUUAAGUCUCCCUCUCUCUCUCUCUCUCUCUCUCUCUCUCUCUCUCUCUGACACCAAGCCCAUCCCCUCUCCCACACAUUCACACAAACUCAGCACACACACUUAACACACACACACUUAACACACAAACACACACACACACAUACACAUUACCCAGAGGGACAGAGUGACAUCAGAUGUAUGGUAGUUUUUUAAUUUUCUAUCAUCCAUAUAGUGUUGUAUAGUCAUGAAACUAUGCAUAUUUCCUCAGCAUGACUUGUCUUCUAUGUGUACAUUUUGUUGAAUUGUUUAGAACUUGCACUUAAAAAAAUAAAAGACAUUUACUGGUUCCUUUUUUACUGUUAUUUCAAAAAAUCACCAUGACAAAACCAUUCAAGCUAUCCAAAAUUAAUUCGCAGCUGUUCUGUAAGAUAAAUUCUUUAAACAGUGGUAAAAGAGGAUGUGGUGCUGAUCCUUCAAGAGUCACUCCAAACUUAUCUGUCCAUAAAGCCUAUAAAGAAUUAUUCUUAAUACACAGUAUUACAGAAUACUUCAGCAUAUUAUUCUAAUUAAGUGAGGGUCAUUUUAUCAGUAAAAUACAUAUUAUUUUUCUUUGAAAGAUUUCUAUAAAUGAUUUAAAUCAUACUUGUUUCUACAAUAAUUAUUUAAAAGUAAUCAUAUAGCGCCAUCUGGUGGCCAUUAUUGGUACUAAGAAUUGCAAGCUUGAUUUAUAUGUUAUGAUAGUUUAAAUUUUAAGCUGGCUCUUGAAAAUGAUAAAGCUAUGAAACUUGCUGUGCUUCUUUCAAAUGAUGACUUCUACGUAUAUAAAAAAUUAUGAAGAGUUGGAAUGAAGAAUGUUAAAGAUAUAGUAAAAUAACUAUUGUAUUUUUUUAUGUUACUUUAAUAAAUCGGUAUGGCCACACCAUUUAAGGUAUCUUAAACCCAUUCGCAAUUUAACAUCUUCAGUAUAUUGGCAUCAUGUUGAAAAAGUUUGGUGUGAACUACUUGUGUCUUCUUGGAGGAGUAUGAUUCAUUUACAGGCUGAUUUGAUCAUAAAUCCACAAUAACAUUUCUGAGUUCUGUAUCAAUCUGUGUUGUUGUUUGUUUAUUUUCAUUUUUUUAUUUUUCAUAGGAAGAUAACUGACCCUUUACUCUCCUUUUUAAUAAAUGUGCUUAUAAACCAAGAUCAAGCUAUUUAUAGCUGUAUUUAUAAGCUGCUUAUUAAUGACCAUUUAAGUUGGGACAAGACUUUAUAAAGCAUGAACUGACUAUUUACUAAUGAGUGCAGUUAUUAUAAAGUGUUACCAAUGCAUUUACUAAUGUUAACAAAUUAGACAUUAUUUUACAGUGUUAUCAAAUCCCUUAAAUGAUUAACAAGCAUUUGUGAAAGUUCUGCUUGCAUUACAGCUUAGUCUUCAUCUGCGAGCUGAACAGUUUUACUGUUACAUCCAUGAGAUUAUGUAAAUUAAGAUAAAUGUCAUGUCACAGGAUGGAAUAGGUCAGUAUCAAAUGAGAUUGAAAUUAUUAUUUGCAGCACAAAUAAGUAUUUUUAGAAUUUUGUUUUUAAUUCCUGAAACUGUCAGAAAAGGAUAAGGCCUAAGAGAUUUCUUAAGCUGUAAUGAAAACAGCAAUGUUAGCAACAGCAACAAAAAAUAAUUUAAAAUA
Molecule: long non-coding RNA, 1897 nt
Organism: Carassius gibelio (silver crucian carp)
Lineage: Eukaryota; Metazoa; Chordata; Actinopteri; Cypriniformes; Cyprinidae
Exons: 2
Source: RefSeq, a predicted model, not a curated record